This 221-nucleotide small RNA is filed under the name Bordetella trematum. RNAcentral describes it as "Manganese sequence". The stretch from base 1 to 111 matches the Rfam family "Manganese Mn2+ riboswitch aptamer (yybP-ykoY)". From Rfam's summary of the family: This RNA was originally discovered in E. coli during a large scale screen and was named SraF. The family was later found to exist upstream of related families of protein genes in many bacteria, including the the yybP and ykoK genes in B. subtilis. Lineage: Bacteria; Pseudomonadati; Pseudomonadota; Betaproteobacteria; Burkholderiales; Alcaligenaceae. The record is from RNAcentral.
CGCACUGUCAUUGGGGAGUAGCCAUCCUUUGUUUCCCCAAGGGAGUCAGCGUCAACAAGCUUGAGGUUCAACCUCAUGGCGCUGACGGCCUGACGCAGGGCAUUCGUGCCCGCCGUCAGAUGCCAGGCGAGACCUUUGGCCUCAUCGCGUUCACCCCCAGCCGGGCGAGCCGCGAUGUUGCGCCAAAGUUUUCUGCUCGUCCGGCUGCCCCCUAUGUUGCU